GUGAAGCCCAGCUUGCUGGGUGGAUCAGUGGCGAACGGGUGAGUAACACGUGAGCAACCUGCCCUCCACUUCGGGAUAAGCCUUGGAAACGGGGUCUAAUACCGGAUAUGAGCUCGCAUCGCAUGGUGUGGGUUGGAAAGUUUUUCGGUGGGGGAUGGGCUCGCGGCCUAUCAGCUUGUUGGUGGGGUGAUGGCCUACCAAGGCGUCGACGGGUAGCCGGCCUGAGAGGGCGACCGGCCACACUGGGACUGAGACACGGCCCAGACUCCUACGGGAGGCAGCAGUGGGGAAUAUUGCACAAUGGGCGCAAGCCUGAUGCAGCGACGCCGCGUGAGGGAUGACGGCCUUCGGGUUGUAAACCUCUUUCAGCAGGGAAGAAGCGCAAGUGACGGUACCUGCAGAAGAAGCGCCGGCUAACUACGUGCCAGCAGCCGCGGUAAUACGUAGGGCGCAAGCGUUGUCCGGAAUUAUUGGGCGUAAAGAGCUCGUAGGCGGUCUGUCGCGUCUGGUGUGAAAUCCCGAGGCUCAACCUCGGGCUUGCAUCGGGUACGGGCAGACUAGAGUGCGGUAGGGGAGACUGGAAUUCCUGGUGUAGCGGUGGAAUGCGCAGAUAUCAGGAGGAACACCGAUGGCGAAGGCAGGUCUCUGGGCCGCAACUGACGCUGAGGAGCGAAAGCAUGGGGAGCGAACAGGAUUAGAUACCCUGGUAGUCCAUGCCGUAAACGUUGGGCACUAGGUGUGGGGCUCAUUCCACGAGUUCCGUGCCGCAGCUAACGCAUUAAGUGCCCCGCCUGGGGAGUACGGCCGCAAGGCUAAAACUCAAAGGAAUUGACGGGGGCCCGCACAAGCGGCGGAGCAUGCGGAUUAAUUCGAUGCAACGCGAAGAACCUUACCAAGGCUUGGCAUGUACGAGAAAGCCCCCGAGACGGGGUUCUCUUUGGACACUCGUACACAGGUGGUGCAUGGUUGUCGUCAGCUCGUGUCGUGAGAUGUUGGGUUAAGUCCCGCAACGAGCGCAACCCUCGUCCUAUGUUGCCAGCGGGUUAUGCCGGGGACUCAUGGGAGACUGCCGGGGUCAACUCGGAGGAAGGUGGGGAUGACGUCAAAUCAUCAUGCCCCUUAUGUCUUGGGCUUCACGCAUGCUACAAUGGCCGGUACAGAGGGCUGCGAUACCGUAAGGUGGAGCGAAUCCCAAAGAGCCGGUCUCAGUUCGGAUUGGGGUCUGCAACUCGACCCCAUGAAGUCGGAGUC
Molecule: ribosomal RNA, 1251 nt
Filed under: uncultured bacterium
Lineage: Bacteria
Description: bacterial SSU rRNA
Rfam family: Bacterial small subunit ribosomal RNA
Source: RNAcentral